AACGAACGCUGGCGGCAGGCCUAACACAUGCAAGUCGAGCGCGCCCUUCGGGGUGAGCGGCGGACGGGUGAGUAACGCGUGGGAACGUGCCCUUUUCUACGGAAUAGCCUCGGGAAACUGAGAGUAAUACCGUAUACGCCCUUUGGGGGAAAGAUUUAUCGGAAAAGGAUCGGCCCGCGUUGGAUUAGGUAGUUGGUGGGGUAAUGGCCUACCAAGCCGACGAUCCAUAGCUGGUUUGAGAGGAUGAUCAGCCACGCUGGGACUGAGACACGGCCCAGACUCCUACGGGAGGCAGCAGUGGGGAAUCUUAGACAAUGGGGGCAACCCUGAUCUAGCCAUGCCGCGUGAGUGAUGAAGGCCUUAGGGUUGUAAAGCUCUUUCAGCUGGGAAGAUAAUGACGGUACCAGCAGAAGAAGCCCCGGCUAACUCCGUG
Molecule: ribosomal RNA, 433 nt
Filed under: uncultured bacterium
Lineage: Bacteria
Description: partial 16S ribosomal RNA
Rfam family: Bacterial small subunit ribosomal RNA
Source: RNAcentral